GCAUUGCUGAGAAGUCCCAUAAUAGGACGAAACGGCCGUCCAGUGC
Schistosoma rodhaini is the source of this 46-nucleotide non-coding RNA. The record is from Rfam. NCBI's taxonomy places the organism in Eukaryota, Metazoa, Platyhelminthes, Trematoda, Strigeidida, Schistosomatidae.